UCCCGCCGAUCUCUAUUCGGACAAUGGAACUAAUUUCAAUGGAGCGUCUAAACUUUUAAUUAAAGAUCGGCGAGAAUUCAUGAAAUCAUUGAAAACUCAACUCAACAACUAGUGAAGCACACCAAAACAUCAACUGGCACUUUAAUCCUCCAGGAGCUCCACACAUUGGUGGACUCUGGGAAGCAGGAGUGAAAAGUUUAAAGAGCCACUUCAGAAAGGUGUCUCAGAACCAGAAAUUCACUUUCGAUGAACUAGCAACCCUUUUAACCCGAAUCGAAAGUUGCUUAAAUUCUCGCCCUUUAAGCCCAUUAAGUGAAGACCCAACAAAUUUAGAACCUUUAACCCCAGGUCAUUUCUUAAUAGGUACCCCUUUAUUAAUCCCAGCAGAAACCAACUUAGAAGAUGCACAUCUAAGCAUCGCACAAAGAUGGCAGAAACUGAAGAUACUCCAUCAACACUUCUGCAAACGAUGGAAAGAAGAAUAUUUGAAAGAACUCCACAAAAGAUAUAAGUGGAAAUACCCUCAACGCAACAUAGACGUUAACGAUAUGGUAGUUAUACGCCAAGAAACUCUACCCCAAAUGAGUGGAGACUUGGUCGCAUCGAAAAAACGUAUCUCGGUGCAGACAACAAAACAAGAAUAGUUGACAUACGUACCUCUCAGGGAAUAAUUACCCGCCCAAUAACCAAAAUAGUCACUUUACCAAAUAAUUAAUCUUAUUUCCUUAUAGUGACAUGGCCCCUCAAAGCAGUACGAAGUCCAUUUGCAGGCGCCAAAGCAGCCCCACAUUCACUGUGCGAUCCCUCAGCUCGACUCGUAGCAUCAGCCCACUCUCCGACGAAGGAACCUUGGCAAGACGCCUGCAUCGCUUUAAAGCGACCCUUUCCCCAUUCGAGAGGAGCGUGGAAAUACGAAUCGCAUGGCCCGACGUACCAUCAGCCAUUCCUCUAUUAGAGAAGAACGAGGAAGUACCCAUCGCACAGCCCGGCGUACUAUCAGCCGUUCAUCAAAGCGAACGCACAAACACGUCGCCUGUGGAUUGUGUAAAAAAGACCAUCGACUGGUAACGUGUUCAAAAUUCACCAUAAUGAACAUUAGCGAAAAGUUUGACGCAGUCAUUAAACUUAAGUAUUGCGUCAAUUGCUUGGCCAGAUCGCAUUCCACCCAAAAGUGCACAAGUAAAAAACGAUGUGCCACGUGUAACGGGGAACACCAUUCAACCCUACAUGGACACCCCAGGUUGUUUUGCGAAGAGCAAAAGAAAACAGCAAAAGGCAAAAAGCGAUUACACGGACAAGAGGAUCUACCCACGUUACUGGCCAAGCCGACCCUCGUCCCAACCGUCAUGGUCAAAGUGAAACACGAUGGCAAAUGGCACAAAAUACGAGCCAUAAUAAACCCGACCCGAAAAGUGACCAUGAUUGCGUCAGAACUGGUCCAGAGUCUGAGGUUACCGAAAACGUACCUCGACUCGUAUCGUAUAUGUAAAGUCGUAAUCGGAUCAUUAACUGAUUCCGACUGGCACGUCGAAGCUAACUGCCUUUUGACGCAUGAUUUACCGACCCGACCCUAUAAUCGUGACUUAAGUGGCGAAAUUAUUAAGAAGUUCGACCACUUAGUCCUAGCCGACCCUACAUUCUGGAAAGACGACAAAAUUAUGUUGGAACUGGGAGCUGACAUCUACCCAAGAUUGAUGAAACCCGGCUUAUUCAACCCCGAUAACAGCACCGUGAUCGCACAAAACACCGCACUCGGUUGGACUUUAACCGGUGCUUGUGCGAUUUAAAACCCAAGUAUACCUCCAACCCGUUCAUAACAUUAGUCAUUUACCCAAUUCAAAAUAGAUCUAAAAAUCUUUUUAUUCGCAGACACUGCAAGGCGGCCGGGAUGUUCAUACCAAAUGAACACAUCCCUGCAUUGUCCUCCUAACUCGUCUAAAUACGAAUUAGAGGACAAUGCAAAAAACACCCAACAGCGCCAACAUAACAGCGAAGCACCCAACGAAACAAAAAGACACAAUAAAACGAAUCACCAUAGCGGACGGACACAUAGGCGCCAAAAGCAGCAGCAAUAUCAGCAGCAAUAACAACCACAGCAGCAUCAGCAGUAUCAGCAGCAACAAUUAGCAGCAAUCACAACAACAGAAUCAUCUUCUCAACGCGGGAAAAGCUCAACCACAUCAGUGCGAAAACGAAAAUUUGACGAGAAAUCUAUCAAAACUAUACUUGUCGGGUAUGAGCCAAAUGGCUAUAAAUUGUGGAAUGAGGAAUCGAGAAAAUUUAUGACAGCUAGAGAUGUAGUGGUGGAUGAAAGGAGCAUAAAAUCUAUGACUUUAAUGAAAAUGAUUCUGCGGUAAAACAUGAUGAUUUUAACCAAAGUAAUGAUUCUCCAAUUGAAGAGAAUGAAGAGUCGGAUUUUCCAUUGCAGGAAAUUAGUGAAUCAAUGGAUUCGAAGUCUGGUGAAAACUAAAAUAAAAAUUCCACUUGUCUCGAGAAUACCGAUCCUGUUGUUGAAACUGGUGAUAAUAUAAUAGAAAUUGAAAAUCAAGAACAAGUUAGAGUGAGUAGUGAGAGGAUUAAAGAUGAACCAAAAUUAUCAUAUAGAUUUUUAGAAAAAUGUCUUAUGAAUACCAAAUAUGUUUAAAUGAUAUCCCUAAUACAUAGGUAGUAAAAGGUUUAACCCAGUACGAUGGAAAUAAAGUAUGUAAACUAAAUAAAGCUAUUUAUGGCCUUAAGCAAGCUACAA
This is a long non-coding RNA of Bactrocera neohumeralis, 2746 nucleotides long. RefSeq lists it as uncharacterized. The record is from RefSeq and is a predicted model, not a curated record. The transcript is spliced from 2 exons. Lineage: Eukaryota; Metazoa; Arthropoda; Insecta; Diptera; Tephritidae.